RNAcentral lists this long non-coding RNA (1026 nucleotides) under Fukomys damarensis (Damara mole-rat). RNAcentral describes it as "lncRNA (ENSFDAG00000028248.1)". The record is from RNAcentral. Lineage: Eukaryota; Metazoa; Chordata; Mammalia; Rodentia; Bathyergidae.
CCAGGUUGCCCUCUGCAAGGAACCCAAAAGCAGAAAGCAAACGCCUGCAGAGGCCGAGAGCAUAAGUCUCCACCACCCCCAGGAAACUUCCUUCUGCCGCCUAAACCACCCCGCUCCGAGUCUCCGAGCUCCGGUUCCUUCCAGACAUGCAUUCAUAAACAAACCGAAGCAGCUCCAGCCAGCCUCACUAGAUCUUCCACUUCAGCUAUCCUGCCACACGCCGGGGCUCAGUUGUGACCCCUCCAAAAGCAGACAAAAGUCACAGCUGCUUGAGCCCAGCCGCCUCGCCCUGACCUCCCUCCUCUGGGGCCCUACCGCCGAUCCCGGGCGUUGUGGGGUAUCCCUUGGGACCAGUGCCUGGUCUCCCAGGACGUCAUCCGACACCGGCCACGCCCUUCUCCAGUCGCCCACCUUUCUGGAUUCUUGACCCACUUUUCCCGCGGGAGGUCGUGGCUACAAAGCGCUCUCCUUCCCUCCCUCUCUCUCUUUCCCGCCCUCUCUCUCUCCUUCCCUCCCUCCCCCAGCCCCCUUUGCCUCGGAUGGGCAGACCUGCCUCGCCGGUAGACGUCACCAAGCGCUGCCGGCUGUGCACCGGCUGUUGUCUGAGAACCUCUCCACUGGUGCUCAUCGUGGAUCCCACAGCCGACCCUCCUGAGUGAGCACUAUGUGCUGAGCACUGUCCUCAGUACUGGACACAAAAGCAAACAAAACAAAGACCCCUGCCUUGAAGCCAACAGGUCACAAUUUUUCUUCCUGGAUUUGGUCGCCUUGUGCUGUUUUCCCUAAUCAACAAGAUCUUUCUCCUGGACUCCAGCCUGGGAAUCAUCCUGACUCUCCACUUCACUUCAUCUCACAUCCAGUGAGCUCCAAUCUGGCCAAGGCUGUCUUCUUUUCUGUGGUGCUGGACAUUGAACCCGGGGUCUUUGCAAUCCUCCAGCCUCCAAGAGUGGUGGGUUUACAGGUAUGUAACACCGUUCUGGGCCCACAAGCGUUUAUCUCAUAGAACUCGAUAAGUCUCUUACCCAC